Molecule: ribosomal RNA, 253 nt
Filed under: uncultured bacterium
Lineage: Bacteria
Description: partial 16S ribosomal RNA
Rfam family: Bacterial small subunit ribosomal RNA
Source: RNAcentral
GACAGAGGUGCCGAGCGUUAGGCGGAAUCACUGGGCUUAAAGCGUGUGUAGGCGGAUUUGUAAGUACCUUGUGAAAUCCCAUGGCUCAACCAUGGAACUGCUCGGUAUACUGCUUAUCUUGAGCCACUUAGGGGCAGUCGGAACAGAUGGUGGAGCGGUGAAAUGCGUAGAUAUCAUCUGGAACGCCAAUGGUGAAAACAGGUAGCUGGGAGUGUGCUGACGCUGAGACACGAAAGCCAGGGGAGCGAACGGG